Long non-coding RNA from Acanthochromis polyacanthus (spiny chromis), 538 nucleotides. RefSeq lists it as uncharacterized. The transcript has 2 exons. Lineage: Eukaryota; Metazoa; Chordata; Actinopteri; Pomacentridae. The record is from RefSeq and is a predicted model, not a curated record.
CCUUGUUCAGUCCUCUGGAGCCGACCGCCGCUGGCCGAGGAUGCCGAAGAGGAGCGGCUGUCUGACGGUUUCACGACGUGAUGAGGCAACGUUCACACCAACCGAAGAUCGUCUAGAUAUGGGAGUGGGACCUCUUGCAUCUGAGUGGACUCAACUAUUUCCAGGAAACGGGAGGGGGUUGAGCCCUGUGCCUUCAUGUACUGACUGUCACCGUUUAAGCUCGUCUAUAUGCUAUCUUCACCCUUUGUUAUCCUCACUCUUUAUUAUAAGUGUGACUAUUCUGCUAUCACUGUCAAGAUUUCAUUCACUGCAAUAGAAACUGUAGGCAGACUUUCCCUGUACCCAUUCAAUUCUUCAACUUGGAAAAUCUUAUUUUAUGUUUGGAGUGUGGACAUUGCUGUACAUCAGCAUGACCAGCAGCUCGAGCUCUAACUGAAAAUAUCAAAAUUUCAACCAAAAAAACAAUGCUAUAAUGUGUAGAAAGUUUUCAGUGUCCAAUGAUGUUUGUCUACAUGCAAAUUACAUUUUCACAAGAGAA